CCUACGGGCGGCUGCAGUGGGGAAUCUUGCACAAUGGGGGAAACCCUGAUGCAGCGACGCCGCGUGAGCGAUGAAGCCCUUCGGGGUGUAAAGCUCUUUCGGCAGGGAAGAUGAUGACGGUACCUGCAGAAGCAGCUGCGGCUAACUACGUGCCAGCAGCCGCGGUAAUACGUAGGCAGCAAGCGUUGUUCGGAGUUACUGGGCGUAAAGGGUGUGUAGGCGGUUCUUUAAGUUUGGUGUGAAAUCUCCCGGCUCAACUGGGAGGGUGCGCCGAAUACUGAGGGACUAGAGUGCGGGAGAGGAAAGUGGAAUUCCUGGUGUAGCGGUGAAAUGCGUAGAUAUCAGGAGGAACACCGGUGGUGUAAACGGCUUUCUGGACCGUAACUGAUGCUGAGACACGAAAGCGUGGGUAGCAAACAGGAUUAGAUACCCCUGUAGUC
RNAcentral lists this ribosomal RNA (440 nucleotides) under uncultured bacterium. Its description in RNAcentral is "partial 16S ribosomal RNA". It matches the Rfam family "Bacterial small subunit ribosomal RNA", at positions 338 to 795 of the family's 1533-position model. The record is from RNAcentral.